Molecule: RNA transcript, 2256 nt
Organism: Triticum aestivum (bread wheat)
Lineage: Eukaryota; Viridiplantae; Streptophyta; Magnoliopsida; Poales; Poaceae
Exons: 2
Source: RefSeq, a predicted model, not a curated record
CCUUCUCGUUGACCUCCCCCCCCCACACGGAGCAAGUGAGCAGAGAGAGAGAGGAUCCAGGCGAUUCAGAGAGGAUUCCGGCUCCGUCAGGUGGCUGGCGUCCUUGCCGGCAACCGCGAUGGCACAACUCCCCUUCACCCCACCCCAGCGGCCUCCUCCCCCAAUACUCCUCACUGUUUUCUUCCCCUUUUCUUCGCCGGAUCUGAAGACGGGCUGCCGGUGUCGACCUGCCGUUGUCGCCGAGGUUGGCGGGGUGAGGUCGGAUCUCGUUGUCUCCGCAUCGCGUACAAGGAGCCCACAAAGCAGGGGAUGCUUCUGGCAGAGCAAGCCACGGGCGCCGUCGGCCCCAACCCAGGCGACGGCGAGGGCGCCAAUCCCCUCCAACCAGCCCCCGCAUCCAGUACGGGGUCGACAGCGGCGGGGGUGGCGCAGCGCGCAUCGACGACGAUGUGGAGACGCGCGCGGUGGAUUGCUCGAGGGCGUGGAAGCGCACGGCGUGCCCGACAUCUUAACCUCACCCGUGCAGCCAUUCCCAUGGCUGGUGGCAGCGGAGCCAAGGCGGGCCACUACAGAGAGGAGUUUCACCGGCGGAAGGACGACGUCGCGCGUGUGAGGCGGGCUUGCCGCCGAUGCUCUCCUCUAGUUCCUGCCGUCGUCCUGCUUCCCUGGACUCCUCCGUGCUCACCAGCACCCCAAGAUCCCGCGCGAGAAGGGGGUUGCGGCAGCUAGGUCAUGGAGGCACCGAUGCAAGGGGAUCGGAGGCGACAACCAUGACGCGGACGACAGAGCAGGCGACAGCGUCUCCGUCGUGGGGGUGUGUCGGCGGGCGGAGGUCACCCCCUCUAUCUCCCGGCUGGCUCUCUCCGGGCCGGCGGGGCGCUUCCAGAUGCGGCGGGUGCUAAUGGGCCCGGCCAUGGGGGCGCAGGUGUCCGCCGCGAGUUUUCUACGGCGAGCUCCACCAUUGCAUGUAUGGGCCAACACAUACAGUAUGUUUGCCGUCUGUCCUAUGGCUUUUCUAGUAUGCCUCUACCAUUUCUGCCAUCUUAAUUUUUGAAGAGGCAAGUUAGUUCAGGUGGCACAUUUACCCUCGUCCAGAUGGUAUGGUUGCCAUGGCAAAUUUACCUUUGAGCUAACUAGAUUUGCCAUGGCUAACUAGAGUGUUGGUCAUGGAAAAAAAUAUAGAUUUUGCCAUGACAUAAAUUUAGAACAAUUUGCCAUGACAUGAUUUUACAACCAUUUGCUAUGGAAAAAUGUUUAACAAAUUUGCCACGGAUAAAAUAGCACAAACAAAUGAUGGAAAAUAUUGCCAUGGCAAAUACACAUUCAAAUUUUGCCGUGUUAUUUUUAUCAAAAUGUCAAACUUUUUCGUUUUUAGUUGCCAUGGCAACUCAACUUUUCAGAUUUUCCAUGAUGUGUUGCCACAGAACUAACAAAAGGGUUGUGUUGCCAUGUAAAUAUAUGAUGUGUUGCCAUCUUUUUCUUUGCAACAUGGCAAUUUGAGUUCUAUGGGAGUAUGGCAAAUGUAGUUUAAUAUGUUGCCAUGUUCAUGGCGAUUUUUUUGUGUUGUUUCACAUACACGGCAACUUAAUACCAAAGAAGAUGGCAAGUCUUGGUUAAACGCCAUGGCAAGUUUGAACAUGCUUUUUGCCAUCACAAUUUUUGUAUAAUUUCACAUUCAUGGCAACUGUUUAUACAUAAGCAUGGCAAAUUUGAUAAAAAAAACCACAAAAAAUUGAAUAUGCAUUUGGCAUGGCAUUCAAAUAUACAUUUUUUUCAUGGCAAAUUUGACAAUUUUUUGUGUUAUUUCCGUUACAUGGCAAAUUAAUGACACCAAAUAUGGCAAAAUUUGGUAAAAUGCCAUGUCAAAAUUUGAACAUGCCCUUGCCAUGGCAACUAUUCAUCAUUUUUGUAAUAUUUCACAAUAUUGCAAAAUUAUGUAUAUUAGCAUUCCAAAUUCGAUAAAAAAACAUGGCAUAUCAGAAUAUGCAUUGCCAUGGCAAUUCUGAUCUUCUUUUCGUGUUGUUUCACAUGGACGGCAAUUUAAUUACACAAAGAUGGCAAGUCUUGAUAAAGUAGCAUUGAUAUGACCAAUCCUAGCCCCAGUCGUGUUGAUGUUGCAGUUGUUCAAGGAUUUGAACGCAUGCAUGUUGGUUCGGCCCACGCUGCUUAUCAUAUGUUUAACAUGGACCAAGGGGCGCAUGCAUAUGCUACUACAUGCACGUACCAGGUCAAAGCAUUAGCUGAUUCAGUUCUAAA